UCACAGGAGAGGCAAAGCACCAUGCGCAGCUGGUUUGAGAAGACGAGUUUCUCCCGGCCCUUCAGCUGAGGCUUGUUGUAACCAUUCACUUGCAACAGCUGGGGAGGCAAGGGGGAAGGUGCUAAAGAUGGGGGUCUGCCAGGCUUGCCAAGUGCUGGGAAGGAUGCUUAACUAUUAGUAACGUGAUCAAAAAAAAAAAAAAAAGAGAUAAAAUAAUGGUUUUGCAGAGUCUCUUGAGAUUUCGCUUGCAAAGGAAAAGUGUUGUUAGCAGCCACCUAGUCAAGGGUGACCCUGGAGGAGGCAGAUGCCCUGUGCCAUGCAGUAGCCCAUGGGGACCAGGUGCAUGUACCAUCCAUUUUCACGCUGGGAUUGCUUCAACAAAAUUGCUUGGAUCUGCAAGAACAUUUUGUCCAGUCCGUACCCAACGCAGGGCCACAAGCAGGCUCCAGCUGUGGUUUUCAAGUCUUGCUGUUUUCUGGGAUGGUGCCACGUCUCCAAAGAGCUAAGGAGCCUUUUCUCCUGUGAGAAAUCCUCACCGGGACUUGCUUCUGAGUAAUCACAGCUCAGGGUGAACUUCCAGGCCAGAGGGAUGAAUCACAACCAUCCUUCUGUAGCAUAAACUUACGGUAUCACUCCAGUUUCCAGUCUGCUUCAUCCGAAAUAAUCGGCUGGCAUCAGCCUGCAGCACCUUGUGGCAGACAACGCUGACCUGAGAUGUACCUGAUCUUGUGGCUUCUGACGAGUGAUAUGGCUGCUGACGUGCAAGUUUGAGGUCUAAAUAACACUGACUCCGGUCCUGCAAAAUUAAAUAGAAAAUAUUUCUCUCUCCUCCAGCCCCGUCCAGGCUUUUCCUCCCAGUGCACUGGGGAUACGCUCACAGAUGCCGUUUUGCUAAAAGCCGGAUAAUACUGAGUGCUGUCUGAAACCGAAUACAAGGCAGCAAUUCAGGGGGAUGUUUCUGUUGAUGCCAUGAAGCACAAAAGCACAAUUCAAGUGGAGCAGCCAAAUCUCAGGGAUGAAAUUGCAGCCCUUGUAUUGUGCUGAGGAUGGGGCCUUGUUUUACUAAUCUACUACAGCUCUGCAGGGCUUUCAAUUUUAAAUAUGAAGAAAAGAAGAUCUGGAUGUAAAUGCAGUGGCAAAUGGGGUUACUCAUGACAAAGAAAUGUGCUACAGAAACUUAGCCAGGCAGAGAUUUCUUUUGGACAGGGGAGUCACGUCCAUGCACACAUGCACAAAUGCAAGUUCUCGGUUUCUCUCAGCCUUAGGAAGAACAGCUAGAUGUGGUGCUGCCUCCUUUGAGGGUUGGUGUUAAGGUACCAAAGGUUGCAUCUUUCCUCUUAAUUAUGCUGGAUCCUCACUCUCAAAGGCACAUGUUUUCAAGCUGUAUUGCCACCUUCAUCUUUUUGUGUGUGUUGAGGAAUUCCUCAGCUUCCUAGCUGAGAAAUGAGCAUGUUUUCUCUAAGUAUUUUCCCUUGCUGUCAGAUGCAAAAAUAGAGUAGAUUAUAUUGAGUACAGUGUAAAAUCACAUGCUAAGCACCGAAGGACAGUUGCUGUUUCAAGGCUUCAGUGUAUUUCUUCCCUAUGCCCUUACUCAGGAAAGAUGCAAAUGAGCUGUGGAGUGAAAGUCAAUGUAUAUCGCAAAUAAUAUUUUGCUCCUGAUAAAUUAACACACUGACCUCCUCAAGGUGCUUUUGAAGGUUGUUCAAAGCAUCGGUGGCAUUGUUGAAUGGCUUUUCUGUGACAUUCAUCAUCUAACCCAAAAGGAUUCUGCAAUAGUUAUAAAAGGGAAAAAAAAAGUGAGCAAUACUU
Molecule: long non-coding RNA, 1809 nt
Organism: Anas platyrhynchos (mallard)
Lineage: Eukaryota; Metazoa; Chordata; Aves; Anseriformes; Anatidae
Source: RefSeq, a predicted model, not a curated record